GGGAUUUGGCAUGGGGGGAACCCUGAUCAGCCUGCCGCGUGUGUGAAGAAGGCCUUUUGGUUGUAAAGCACUUUAAGCGAGGAGGAGGCUACUCUAGUUAAUACCUAGGGAUAGUGGACGUUACUCGCAGAAUAAGCACCGGCUAACUCUGUGCCAGCAGCCGCGGUAAUACAGAGGGUGCGAGCGUUAAUCGGAUUUACUGGGCGUAAAGCGUGCGUAGGUGGCCAAUUAAGUCAAAUGUGAAAUCCCCGAGCUUAACUUGGGAAUUGCAUUCGAUACUGGUUGGCUAGAGUAUGGGAGAGGAUGGUAGAAUUCCAGGUGUAGCGGUGAAAUGCGUAGAGAUCUGGAGGAAUACCGAUGGCGAAGGCAGCCAUCUGGCCUAAUACUGACACUGAGGUACGAAAGCAUG
RNAcentral lists this ribosomal RNA (409 nucleotides) under uncultured bacterium. RNAcentral describes it as "bacterial SSU rRNA". It matches the Rfam family "Bacterial small subunit ribosomal RNA", at positions 358 to 763 of the family's 1533-position model. The record is from RNAcentral.